CUGACAGGGACCACGACCCUUCCCACAGCCUCCCCGAGGCCCUGACCAGCUGCAGCUGCUCAGAGCACAGUCAGCCUUUGUGGAUACUGGAGAAGGAGUGAGUCCAAGGGGCAGGGAAUUAGACCCAGUGUGUCAGCCGGAUGUGCACGGGGGGCCUCACUGGGGGACCCCCGAGUCUCUUUUCUCUGCCCAGCCUGCACGUCUGCAUCACAGGAAACACCUUUGUAAAGGGAGCAACCAUUUGAGGACAGCAGGGGUUUCCCCCGUGGAAGGGCUGCCGCUAAUCUAGCUUCUACCCCGUGGGACCCCCCGCACCUAUUCCAUGCUUGCGUCCACUCCUCGCCUGUCAACCCCUUUCCCAGAUAAAGAAGCCCAUGCCUUUGAAGCCAAGCCCCUUCACUGACAGAUGCACAUGUGACCUCAGUGGAGCUGGCAGCUGGAUCUGCACCUGGACUGGAAUUCCCAGAACAGUGGGGCUGGAGAGAAGAACCUAGGAGCUUCUCAGAAGUUACUUAAAUGGAUCUUCCUCCACUUUUGGUUUUCACCACUAAAUGGGACACCAAUAGGGCAAAACAACUGCCAUGAAGUAAACCCGGUAAAGCCCCUCAUGCCUGCCACUGAAGCUUUCUAAGCAUAACAAGUGACUCUCUUCCUUUGAACGUGUACAAAUGCCCUCUAGAAGCACCCAGAACUGGUUUCUGAUGCCCAGUAAGUGAGCAAGAGAACAGGAAUACUGAGCAGGAACUAGAAAGAAGCAAGGUCAUGGGGAGAAAGGACAAGAGCAGAUGUCACCCGAUGCUGGGACCUCCAUGCACACACACUCUGACAGUGCAACGGACUCAGCUGGGAGAACGGAUAGUCCUUCAGGGCCCUUGAGGGGAGAGGAAGCACAGUGACUUGUAGUUCCUGGAAAUUUGCAAAUAUGCCUGGAGUUAUGGAAAUGUACCUCGUCUUUCUUGAGGAAGUAGCUACCCUGACCUUGUAAGAAAGCCUGACGGUGCCAUCCAUAGUUGGAUCCUGAGACUCCACCAACCCACAGUGAUGGCCGCCAGGCAUCCUUCCAGAUCUCCUGCCCCUCGCACAUGACAAGAGGAGAAAGAGAUGGCUCUCAUUAUCAGGGACUAAUUUCUUAUAGAUAAUGACCUUUUAGAAAAGAAACAGCUCAGCCUUCUCACUCUUAUACAAUGGCUUCUGAAUUCUUGGGGGAGCAACUAGGCUUAUUCCUGCUUCAAAGACAGGAAGCUGGGGGCAGAAAUGGAAGGGGACAAGAACGAAAGGGAACAUUCCCCGACUGCCCACUAUAUACUAAGCAUGCUUGGUGAAGCAAGAUGUACUCCCUCGAGGACAUUUCACAGCAAACCUUCCAGAUAAGGAAACCCAGGCCGAGAACCACCCAAGUUCACCAGCAAUCAGAUGGCAUUGCCAGGAUCCUAGCUCAAGCUCCACUCUGCAACAUGUAAAAUGGAGAAGAAAGAAGACAGUAAUAAAAAAAAGAAAUCCUUACUUGUAAAAUCAAUUUCAAAGAACCGUUCUCUGAUGUCCCCCCAAGCGCAUUCCAGUAUCCUGCUUUCUUCCCUCUGCACCACGUGCUCCUUAAACAUGUAACUCUGCCCACACGGCUAAAAGUCACCGAGUCCUCCUCUGUGGUUCUAAAUAAUAUCCUGUAGCCUAUUAAUAAACAGAUCCGUUUUAGAUAAAGUUAGUAUUCA
Long non-coding RNA from Mustela erminea (ermine), 1709 nucleotides. RefSeq lists it as uncharacterized. The record is from RefSeq and is a predicted model, not a curated record. The transcript is spliced from 3 exons. NCBI's taxonomy places the organism in Eukaryota, Metazoa, Chordata, Mammalia, Carnivora, Mustelidae.